This 372-nucleotide ribosomal RNA is filed under the name uncultured organism. RNAcentral's name for it is "bacterial SSU rRNA". It matches the Rfam family "Bacterial small subunit ribosomal RNA", at positions 526 to 896 of the family's 1533-position model. The record is from RNAcentral.
CAGAGGGUGCGAACGUUGCUCGGAAUUACUGGGCGUAAAGCGCGUGUAGGCGGACGAUCAAGUCAGAUGUGAAAUCCCUGGGCUCAACCCAGGAACUGCAUUUGAAACUGGUCGCCUUGAGUGUUGGAGAGGGAAGCGGAAUUCCUGGUGUAGAGGUGAAAUUCGUAGAUAUCAGGAGGAACACCGGUGGCGAAGGCGGCUUCCUGGACAACUACUGACGCUGAGACGCGAAAGCGUGGGGAGCAAACAGGAUUAGAUACCCUGGUAGUCCACGCCGUAAACGAUGAGUGCUAGGUGUCUCGGGUAUUGACCCCUGAGGUGCCGUAGCUAACGCGUUAAGCACUCCGCCUGGGAACUACGGCCGCAAGGCUA